Molecule: long non-coding RNA, 652 nt
Organism: Gallus gallus (chicken)
Lineage: Eukaryota; Metazoa; Chordata; Aves; Galliformes; Phasianidae
Exons: 6
Source: RefSeq, a predicted model, not a curated record
AGUUUAGAUAAUUGAUCAUCAGAAUGGCAGAAACCCCAUGUCAGCCCACGUGUCUCCGGGGACAGAGCUGGCUCUGUGGGCAUCUUCCAAGGCCUGCGUGCCCUGCCCCGUACCAGUGCACUCAGGAGCUGUGUCCAUGCAGAGCUAUGAGCACUGGUGACACUCAGCCCAUCCAUAUGUCUGUCCAGGUCAUGUGUCCGAUUCCUCAGCAGGAACCAUAACUGCAGACACCAACACUCCUCUGAACCUCACAGUCAUUCAUGUGGUAUCAGUUACUGUCACCCUCCUGCUGUCUGCAGCCACCUUCUGGACCAUUAGGAAAGGUGCCUGCCGGGAGAGAUGCCGAAGGCAGCAGCCCGUUCCCAGCCAGCAGGUGCAAGCCACCGACUACGGAGAAAUCCAGUACUCAACCAUUGCCCACUUUCGAAGGGACAAGCCUCCCGUGAAGCAGAUGACCCGCAGCAGAGAUGCAUAGGCUUCAGCAUGCCAAGGCAACCAGGACUGCGUCACGACCAUUGUGUUUUCUUGCAGAGGGCGCUUGGGGCAGAAGAUGGGGCUUUUGGGUUCAUGGGGUAUGCUCUCCCAUUAUUUCUAGCCUCUAAGAUAUAUGACUUGCUUAUGCAUGUACAACCUAGAAUAUCAAUAAAAUAUC